GUCUAUGGCCAUACCACCCUGAACGUGCCCGAUCUCGUCUGAUCUCAGAAGCUAAGCAGGGUCGGGCCUAGUUAGUACUUGGAUGGGAGAACCAAUUCCUGAACACA
This 107-nucleotide ribosomal RNA is filed under the name Oryctolagus cuniculus (rabbit). Lineage: Eukaryota; Metazoa; Chordata; Mammalia; Lagomorpha; Leporidae. The record is from RNAcentral.